UGGGGAAUUUUGGACAAUGGGCGAAAGCCUGAUCCAGCAAUGCCGCGUGUGUGAAGAAGGCCUUCGGGUUGUAAAGCACUUUUGUCCGGAAAGAAAUCCUUGGCUCUAAUACAGUCGGGGGAUGACGGUACCGGAAGAAUAAGCACCGGCUAACUACGUGCCAGCAGCCGCGGUAAUACGUAGGGUGCAAGCGUUAAUCGGAAUUACUGGGCGUAAAGCGUGCGCAGGCGGUUUGCUAAGACCGAUGUGAAAUCCCCGGGCUCAACCUGGGAACUGCACUGGUGACUGGCAGGCUAGAGUAUGGCAGAGGGGGGUAGAAUUCCACGUGUAGCAGUGAAAUGCGUAGAGAUGUGGAGGAAUACCGAUGGCGAAGGCAGCCCCCUGGGCCAAUACUGACGCUCAUGCACGAAAGCGUGGGGAGCAAACAGGAUUAGAUACCCUGGUAGUCCACGCCCUAAACGAUGUCAACUAGUUGUUGGGGAUUCAUUUCCUUAGUAACGUAGCUAACGCGUGAAGUUGACCGCCUGGGGAGUACGGUCGCAAGAUUAAAACUUAAAGGAAUUGACGGGGUCAUAGCUGUUUCCU
This 585-nucleotide ribosomal RNA is filed under the name uncultured bacterium. RNAcentral describes it as "partial 16S ribosomal RNA". It matches the Rfam family "Bacterial small subunit ribosomal RNA", at positions 355 to 1375 of the family's 1533-position model. The record is from RNAcentral.